RNAcentral lists this long non-coding RNA (230 nucleotides) under Elaeis guineensis (African oil palm). Its description in RNAcentral is "long non-coding RNA (EGUI_LNC056050)". The record is from RNAcentral. Lineage: Eukaryota; Viridiplantae; Streptophyta; Magnoliopsida; Arecales; Arecaceae.
GGGCCCGUGUGCAGUCUAUAUGGAUUCUAGUACCUACUAAAUAAUUAAUAUAAUUUUUCGAAUUAGAGGUAGAGGCUAUCAAUUCAUAUAAAAUAAUGAAAGAAUCUUUAGACUUUUAAGUCUUUAUGAUUAAAUAAUUCAUAUACUCAUAAGUCUUAUAUUUUUUUUCAAAAAAUGGCUAACACUUUAUCACUUUGCUCACUGUUGGAUAGCAACAAGCUCAUUGGAUC